Molecule: non-coding RNA, 1649 nt
Organism: Bactrocera oleae (olive fruit fly)
Lineage: Eukaryota; Metazoa; Arthropoda; Insecta; Diptera; Tephritidae
Source: RefSeq, a predicted model, not a curated record
UUUGUCUCACUAAGCGGAUAUGCAAGGAGUAGUCAACGAAAGUAAGAUUGGAUAACAAAAGCCGAAGAAAAUUUACAUAUCACAGAUACUCUCGCAAUUUGUCCUCAUUAUCAGCUCUAGUCAUAACGCUGGCACGAUAGGAAACACACAACAAACUAAACAUUGAGUUCCAGCGAUCCAACGCACCCCCACUAAAUACCCCUAGGCAGAUUUUGGCAUUACUUUUUAGAACAAAACAAACAAAGCUUGAUAAUAAUACGAGGAAUACAAGAGUAACCAAAAUAUGCUGCACAAUCAGAGCGUGGGCGCGACACUAAGUCAGACGACGUCCGUUAUGGUCGGGCUGAUGGCAUCGUUCGGUGCACGCUCGACAAUGGCGUUGUUGCCGGGACUUUUCCCGCCCAGUUAAACCAACAACUACACAUUCCAAUGCAUUACUUUAAUGCGACCAUGGACAAUGGCGUGGACAUUGGGGCAAGCUUCACCGGAUUCCCUGGACAAGAUGGCGCAGCGGUGGGUUAUGAUGGAAAUUACUAUUUGCAACGAGAUGGUGUAUUUGAUUUCGAAAUGGAUCCAUUGAAGCGCGUUGUCUCAAACAUUGGGAACUUAUUUUUCGGCAUCAUUGGACUGGCGGGUUUGUUGGAGAAUGCGCACGUCAUUUAGGUGGUCGUCGCUAACCAACCAACCUGACAAUUUCGGAUAUAAUCUUUUUCAUCUUUUGUGUGCCCCUUACGGCAAAACUGAUUACGUGUUGCAAGAGUAGCCUUCGGCAACUUGUGAUGCAAAUUUGUGCAAUACAUGAUUGUAAUCACCUGUCUUGACAGUGUCUACUUGCUGCUGCUGAUGUCUCUUGAUCGUUUUUUGGCUGUCGUACAUCCGGUCACGAGUAUGUCCUUGCAAACCGAACGCAAUGCGAUUCUGUGACCAUUGUAAUAUCAGCCAUAGCCGUGGCGUUAUCGCACUCCGUUCAACUAUACUAUUUCAAAGGACGCAAUUACGCAGCAUGUGGCUUUUCAUCGCAUGAGAGAAUCUGGAAUCACGUUGCUUUUCAGAAAGGGCUAACAGCGUGUGUUACGAAUGGUUAUGUUAGCGUUUGACAUAUGUUACCUACCAAUAUAUCUGGGAGCAAAUUUACCGCAUCAUUCAUUAUACAGCCAAUACUCAAACGGCAAACAGUGCAGCUGGUCGCGUAACAACAACAACAGCAAUCAUAGCAGACAAAGUAGCUCAAAAAAACAAUAGCACUGCCAGCUAUCAUAGCAUAACAGAUACCAAAAUAAAAUAAAACGGUGUUAAUAAAGAAUAAAAAACAAAAACCUUAUUUUCUUUGUAAAUAAUCGCCAAAAUUAAAUUUUUAAAUAUGUGAGAUGAAAAAUGUUGCUUUGUCGCUCAGAAAAGCAUCUUUGAAGUGCAAUAACAAUAAUAAAACAAUAUAGCGAAAAUAAGAAGAUGAAAACAGCAUAAACAAAAGAAUUAUUCAACAACAAUAUUAAAAUAAGGAAAAAGGGGGUUUACAGAUGAGUUCUUCGUACUGACGUCAACUAAUAAACAUAUGCACUUAUCUUUUCUAUAAAAGAGAGUUAAUGGUGUGUGUUGUUCAUAGGCAGUGGUUGUCUUGUCGCUCAAAGCAAUUUGAGUGUUGAGCUGUG